GACGAACGCUGGCGGCGUGCUUAACACAUGCAAGUCGAACGGAAAGGCCCCUUUGGGGGUACUCGAGUGGCGAACGGGUGAGUAACACGUGAGUAACCUGCCCUUGACUUCGGGAUAACUUCAGGAAACUGGGGCUAAUACCGGAUAGGAAUCCUUGCUGCAUGGUGGGGGUUGGAAAGCUUCGGCGGUUUUGGAUGGACUCGCGGCUUAUCAGCUUGUUGGUGGGGUAGUGGCUUACCAAGGCUUUGACGGGUAGCCGGCCUGAGAGGGCGACCGGCCACAUUGGGACUGAGAUACGGCCCAGACUCCUACGGGAGGCAGCAGUGGGGAAUAUUGCACAAUGGGCGGAGACCUGAUGCAGCAACGCCGCGUGCGGGAUGACGGCCUUCGGGUUGUAAACCGCUUUCAGCAGGGGCGAAGCUUGUGGUGACGGUACCUGCAGAAGAAGCACCGGCUAACUACGUG
Molecule: ribosomal RNA, 465 nt
Filed under: uncultured bacterium
Lineage: Bacteria
Description: partial 16S ribosomal RNA
Rfam family: Bacterial small subunit ribosomal RNA
Source: RNAcentral